Molecule: ribosomal RNA, 261 nt
Filed under: uncultured archaeon
Lineage: Archaea
Description: partial 16S ribosomal RNA
Rfam family: Archaeal small subunit ribosomal RNA
Source: RNAcentral
CAGCCGUAAACAAUGUGCGUUAGGUGUGUCGGUAACCACGUGUUACUGAUGCGCCGAAGAGAAAUCGUGAAACGCACCACCUGGGAAGUACGGUCGCAAGGCUGAAACUUAAAGGAAUUGGCGGGGGAGCACCACAACAGGUGGAGCCUGCGGUUUAAUUGGAUUCAACACCGUAAAACUCACCAGGGAAGACUGUUACAUGAAAGCCGAGAUGAAGACUCUGCUAGAUUUUCAGAGAGGAGGUGCAUGGCGUCAGUGACU